This 77-nucleotide transfer RNA is filed under the name Saccharomyces cerevisiae CLIB382. RNAcentral's name for it is "tRNA-Tyr (GTA) (tRNA-Tyr-GTA-2-1)". It matches the Rfam family "tRNA". Rfam says of the family: Transfer RNA (tRNA) molecules are approximately 80 nucleotides in length. Their secondary structure includes four short double-helical elements and three loops (D, anti-codon, and T loops). Lineage: Eukaryota; Fungi; Ascomycota; Saccharomycetes; Saccharomycetales; Saccharomycetaceae. The record is from RNAcentral.
CUCUCGGUAGCCAAGUUUGGUUUAAGGCGCAAGACUGUAAAUCUUGAGAUUCGGGCGUUCGACUCGCCCCCGGGAGA